UAUUUGUUUAUUAAAAUUUUUUUUGUUAUUUUUUGAUUAAAAUAUUUUGAACUGGAGUAUUUUUUAGAAAAAGAUAUAUUUUUUAUAGCUUAUAGUACUGUAAAGGAAUUAAAUUUAUUGGAUUUUAAGUAGUUAUUUUUGGCUUACCUUUUGUAUCAGGGUUUAUUUAAUUUUAUAAUUUAUUUUUAUUUUCUCGAAAUUUUAAGAGCUAUAUUUUUAUGUUAUUUAAUGUGUCAAUAUUUUUUAAAAUAGGAAUAUAGGGGAUAGAUUUUAUUCAAUUAAAAAUAUCUGGUUUUUUAAGACAUGGUUUUAAGCCAUAAAUAAGUUAAUAUAUUUUUGAAUUUAUAUUUAUUUGCCUCUAAGAAAGGAUAAGCUUUUUUAGAUUUCUAUAAUUUUUAUAAUCAUUAUUUUUUGUAGGAUUAAUAAUUUCCAUCUUUUAUUUUGUAAAAAUAAUUUUUAAUCUAAUUUUUAUUUAUUUGUUUUUAGAUUUUUAUUAAAAUGAAGAAAUCAAUUAAUAGUUUCUUGUAAAAAUGAUAAAAUUAGUAUUUUAAUAAAAUAAUUUAUAGUAACUCGGCAAAUAUAAUUUUCACCUGUUUAACAAAAACAUGGUCUUUUGUUUAUAUAAAAGAUCUGGCCUGCCCAAUGUUGAUUUAAUGGCUGCAGUAUUUUGACUGUACAAAGGUAGCAUAAUCACUUGUCCUUUAAUUAGGGUCUGGAAUGAAUGGUUGGAUGAAAAAUUUUCUUUCUUUAUUUUAUAAGAUGAAAUUAAUUUUUAUAUUAAAAAGUAUAGAUAGAUAUAUAGGACGAGAAGACCCUAUAGAACUUUAUUCCCCUUAGUUAAUUAUUUACUUGUAAAUAAUUAUUAUUUAGCCUAAGGGGAAUUUUGUUGGGGUGACAAAAAAAAUUUUAUAACUUUUUUUAAUUUUUUCAUUUAUGUAUGGAUAUUUGACCCUUUAAUAUGGGAAAUAAGAUUAAGUUACCUUAGGGAUAACAGCGUUAUUACUUUAGAGAGUUCAUAUCGAUAAAGUAGUUUGCGACCUCGAUGUUGGAUUAAAAUAAGUUUCAGGGGCAGAAAAUUGAUUGACUAGGUCUGUUCGACCUUUAAAUUUUUACAUGAUCUGAGUUCAGACCGGCGUGAGCCAGGUUGGUUUCUAUCCUUAGUUUAUUUCAAAGUUUUAGUACGAGAGGACCAUUUCUUUGGAAAUAUUUUUUAUUUUUUGACUUAAUU
This 1228-nucleotide ribosomal RNA is filed under the name Tuxedo drakei. RNAcentral describes it as "16S ribosomal RNA". The stretch from base 802 to 1157 matches the Rfam family "Archaeal large subunit ribosomal RNA", at positions 2155 to 2712 of the family's 2987-position model. The record is from RNAcentral. Lineage: Eukaryota; Metazoa; Arthropoda; Insecta; Hemiptera; Miridae.